This is an RNA transcript of Scylla paramamosain (green mud crab), 1465 nucleotides long. RefSeq lists it as uncharacterized. The record is from RefSeq and is a predicted model, not a curated record. NCBI's taxonomy places the organism in Eukaryota, Metazoa, Arthropoda, Malacostraca, Decapoda, Portunidae. The transcript has 3 exons.
GAGGAUGGUGUGGUGGACAAGAGGAUGCAGGGAGACGGCAGACAGAAUGGAAGCUACAGAUGAAAGAAGAGCAGGUCAAGCCAUGGCAGCAGACAGACAGACAGAGACAGAUUGGAUCAGAAAGUAUUAUUAUUUAGUGAGCACCAGAAGCAGUCUUCCUCACACGAACCGUUUCAUUGCCGGGACUUGAAGGCUGCUGAAGCAAUGCGGCGGAGGUCACGCCCCUUAAAGUAUUUAUACUUACUGUCAACACCAUAACUAAAGCAAACACUUUAGUGCAGGUAGUUAAAUAAGUGCAAUCAUUGUUCCAGAUUCCUAAAUUCACAAAGUACAUAAACUCAUUGAAAGUUUUUAGUGCAGGUAAUUAAAGUUUUAGUGAAAUAAUUGUUCCUAUUCCUAAUGUUGUGUGGUGCAUUACCUCAGACAGGCCCACUGGAAGCUGUCAGUCUGCUGCGGCACGUGGCAAGAACCAAGUGUUGAGGAGCACACGUUGUCCCUUCACCAGUCAGCAGACUGCUCGCCUUCACAGGUCUGGGCGGCUCGGAAGUCUCACUACAAACUGGAGAUCCAUUCUCUUGGACACAGUUGGAGUCGGACACAAGAUUCAAGAGGGAGUCAUUUUAACGAGAGCUUCAGGCAGAAAAUUCGAGUGGAUUUUCAUUUCUAAAAAUAUCUUAUUUUUUGGGGGGGAUAUUUUGAAUCCUUCUUUGUGGAAAAAUAACUCCAGAUAUUAUGAUUCUAGCUGGAAGUUGACCUGAGCAAUGUAGGGUUUGCUGCUGUGAGAUUAUCACCAAGGCACAAGUGUCCGGGAUUUAAAGAUGAUGGAAAUGUGUCCUGUGUGCUGCUGUGCUGGGAAGAGGAGAGGAGCAGCAGCAGUGGUGGGGCUCUGCUGCUGCUGUCACUAGUGCAGCUGCCUUCCCUCAACAUACUGUGUCUUCUCUCACCUGCAAUGAACAACUAUGAACAAUACUUUUGCGAUGAAGAACAGUGAAUAACACCUCUCCCCAUAUGGUUGCAAGUCUCUCUCUCUCUCUCUCUCUCUCUCUCUCUCUCUCUCUCUCUCUCUCUCUCUCUCUCUCUCUCCACAGUCCUACAGUAUGUCCCCCACAGUAUGUUUACAAACCCACAGUGACUCCCCACAGUCCCUCACCAACACCCUCACCAACAAUUGUCUCCACACACACACACACACACACACACACACACACACACACACACACCAUUACAUACACAAAUGUUGCAAUCUUGUACACACACACACACACACACACACACACACACACACACACACACACCAUUACAUACACAAAUGUUGCAAUCUUGUACACACACACACACACACACACACACCAUUACAUACACAAAUGUUGCAAUCUUGUACACACACACACACGUACACACACACACACACACACACACACACACACACACACACACACACACACACACACACACACACACACAC